GCGGCAACAGCUCAAAUUUGAAAUCUGGCCCUCGGGUCCGAGUUGUAAUUUGUAGAGGAUGCUUUUGGUGCGGUGCCUUCCGAGUUCCCUGGAACGGGACGCCAUAGAGGGUGAGAGCCCCGUCUGGUUGGACACCAAGCCUCUGUAAAGCUCCUUCGACGAGUCGAGUAGUUUGGGAAUGCUGCUCUAAAUGGGAGGUAUAUGUCUUCUAAAGCUAAAUAUCGGCCAGAGACCGAUAGCGCACAAGUAGAGUGAUCGAAAGAUGAAAAGCACUUUGAAAAGAGGGUUAAAUAGUACGUGAAAUUGUUGAAAGGGAAGCGCUUGUGACCAGACUUGAGCCCGGUUAAUCAUCCAGCCUUCUGGCUGGUGCACUUGGCCGGCUCAGGCCAGCAUCAGUUCGGCGUGGGGGAUAAAGGUUUCGGGAAUGUGGCUCCUCCGGGAGUGUUAUAGCCCGUUGCGUAAUACCCUGUACUGGACUGAGGUUCGCGCAUCUGCAAGGAUGCUGGCGUAAUGGUCAUCAGCGACCCGUCUUGAAACACGGACCAAGGAGUCGUCUUCGUAUGCGAGUGUUCGGGUGUCAAACCCCUACGCGUAAUGAAAGUGAACGCAGGUGAGAGCUUCGGCGCAUCAUCGACCGAUCCUGAUGUUCUCGGACGGAUUUGAGUAAGAGCAUACGGGGCCGGACCCGAAAGAAGGUGAACUAUGCCUGUAUAGGGUGAAGCCAGAGGAAACUCUGGUGGAGGCUCGCAGCGGUUCUGACGUGCAAAUCGAUCGUCAAAUAUGGGCAU
This 788-nucleotide ribosomal RNA is filed under the name Cosmospora viridescens. RNAcentral describes it as "eukaryotic LSU rRNA". It matches the Rfam family "Eukaryotic large subunit ribosomal RNA", at positions 98 to 918 of the family's 3401-position model. The record is from RNAcentral. Lineage: Eukaryota; Fungi; Ascomycota; Sordariomycetes; Hypocreales; Nectriaceae.